CCACCACUAAGCCAGUGGUGAACUCCACAUACGCAUCCUUUGCUGAGGAUACGGUUAACGGAGCGAAAGCGACGUUCAACCUCAAAAGAAGCAGAGGGGGCUUAGUGGUGGGGUGACUGCGUACCUUUUGUAUAAUGGGUCAGCGACUUAUAUUCUGUAGCAAGGUUAACCGAAUAGGGGAGCCGGAGGGAAACCGAGUCUUAACCGGGCGUUAAGUUGCAGGGUAUAGACCCGAAACCCGGUGAUCUAGCCAUGGGCAGGUUGAAGGUUGGGUAACACUAACUGGAGGACCGAACCGACUAAUGUUGAAAAAUUAGCGGAUGACCUGUGGCUGGGGGUGAAAGGCCAAUCAAACCGGGAGAUAGCUGGUUCUCCCCGAAAGCUAUUUAGGUAGCGCCUCGUGAAUUCAUCUCCGGGGGUAGAGCACUGUUUCGGCUAGGGGGUCAUCCCGACUUACCAACCCGAUGCAAACUGCGAAUACCGGAGAAUGUUAUCACGGGAGACACACGGCGGGUGCUAACGUCCGUCGUGAAGAGGGAAACAACCCAGACCGCCAGCUAAGGUCCCAAAGUCAUGGUUAAGUGGGAAACGAUGUGGGAAGGCCCAGACAGCCAGGAUGUUGGCUUAGAAGCAGCCAUCAUUUAAAGAAAGCGUAAUAGCUCACUGGUCGAGUCGGCCUGCGCGGAAGAUGUAACGGGGCUAAACCAUGCACCGAAGCUGCGGCAGCGACACUAUGUGUUGUUGGGUAGGGGAGCGUUCUGUAAGCCUGCGAAGGUGUCUCGUGAGGGAUGCUGGAGGUAUCAGAAGUGCGAAUGCUGACAUAAGUAACGAUAAUGCGGGUGAAAAACCCGCACGCCGGAAGACCAAGGGUUCCUGUCCAACGUUAAUCGGGGCAGGGUGAGUCGACCCCUAAGGCGAGGCCGAAAGGCGUAGUCGAUGGGAAACAGGUUAAUAUUCCUGUACUUGGUGUUACUGCGAAGGGGGGACGGAGAAGGCUAUGUUGGCCGGGCGACGGUUGUCCCGGUUUAAGCGUGUAGGUGUGUGUUCCAGGUAAAUCCGGUUCACUUUAACACUGAGGCGUGAUGACGAGGCACUACGGUGCUGAAGCAACAAAUGCCCUGCUUCCAGGAAAAGCCUCUAAGCAUCAGGUAACAUCAAAUCGUACCCCAAACCGACACAGGUGGUCAGGUAGAGAAUACCAAGGCGCUUGAGAGAACUCGGGUGAAGGAACUAGGCAAAAUGGUGCCGUAACUUCGGGAGAAGGCACGCUGAUAUGUA
Molecule: ribosomal RNA, 1278 nt
Filed under: Salmonella enterica
Lineage: Bacteria; Pseudomonadati; Pseudomonadota; Gammaproteobacteria; Enterobacterales; Enterobacteriaceae
Description: partial 23S ribosomal RNA
Rfam family: Bacterial large subunit ribosomal RNA
Source: RNAcentral